Long non-coding RNA from Hirundo rustica (Barn swallow), 1350 nucleotides. RefSeq lists it as uncharacterized. The transcript has 4 exons. The record is from RefSeq and is a predicted model, not a curated record. Lineage: Eukaryota; Metazoa; Chordata; Aves; Passeriformes; Hirundinidae.
GAAGGAACCUUGAGGAAGAGGGAGAAUCAUGAAGAGGCAGGCUCCUGGGGAGAGAGAAUCAUUGCUGUGAGAGUAUUGUUUCUUUUUGGACAUCAUGCCUCUUUGAGAGUUAAAACUCUGGCUUUCAAGUAAUAGUGACUGGGAAGUGCUUUCAAAAUCCUGAGGUGAAGUGGGUGAAUAUCAGACAGCUCAUUAUAGAGACAUGCAUGCUGCAUUCCCAAAGUAGGAUGACAGAACAAGUCAUGUUCAUUUGCCUUCUGUGCCCUGAAGAUCUUGUACAGAAGUAAAAUGAGAUCCCUGGUGAAGCCUACAAUAUCGUUGACGCUGAGGAAGAAUUCAGAGACCCAUUGGUGUUUAAUGACCCUUACUAGCCUCCAUGAAAGAAACUGGUAUGAUCCACUAAAGGAGACAUAUGGUUCUUUGGAAUGAUAAAGAAACACUGUUUUCUUCAUGGGUAAACAUCGUAGUCAUGCAUUUCUAAACACUGCCUGGUUUUAGAUGACUGCUUUUAAAAUGGCCAUCCAAAUUUGGUGAGGAAUUGCAUUCGUUUUUCAUUAGUACUUGACCAACAGCAGUGAUAUUUUCCCAAUACUGCAAUCAUGCCAUUUUAAUGCUCUUAUUAUUCUGUGCUAUCAUAUCAGACUGAACAAAACACAACAGAUAAGAAAGCUGAGCUACACAAUAAAGAGCAACUGGACUGCUUUAUAGGGCAUGGGCACAUUGCAUAAUACAAGCAUAUGGUGAUAUCCCAGAGUUAUAGGUAAGUGCUGGAAUAUCAGGAUAUUUCAGUAUUCAUUUCUUCAUGAAAUUGAAGUAUAUACUUUACUGCAGUUAUACAUAGGACAAUGGCAACUGAAGGAAAUGGAGGAAGGGAAGGGCAAGAAGAAGAAAAGAGAGAUCAGGGUGACACCUGAUAUUUAAAGACAAAAUAAAAUAAAAACUGAUUUCACAAUGAAGUAAACAGUAGUGGAGAUUCAGCUAGGACAAUAUAGGGGAAAAAAAAGGAAAUAUUUUACUAUGGGCAUAUCACAGAAUGUACAGGGUCAGAACCUUUUGCUUGGGUAGAGUCUGCUUGCAGACAGUACUCAAGAUCUGAAUAUAUCUAAAACUCUCAGUAGAUACCCCAGUGCAGACAAAUUUUGGUCUUGUAAUGUUGAUGUAUUAGUUUGAGUAUGUAAAAGAGAUGCUGUACCUGUGGUAAAACAAGUGCAGUUAUCUUAGUUUCAAUUUCUCUAAAGGGUGUGUUCAAUUUCUAAACUCGAACUAUCCGGAUGAGAAAAUAUAUUAAGCUAUUGAAUUUUUUUUUUUUUUUUUCUUUAUCAGUCUUUUUAGUGACUAUCUUCACAGCUG